UACGAAGGGGGCUAGCGUUGUUCGGAAUUACUGGGCGUAAAGCGCACGUAGGCGGCUUUGCAAGUUAGAGGUGAAAGCCCGGGGCUCAACUCCGGAAUUGCCUUUAAAACUGCAUCGCUAGAAUUGUGGAGAGGUAAGUGGAAUUCCGAGUGUAGAGGUGAAAUUCGUAGAUAUUCGGAAGAACACCAGUGGCGAAGGCGACUUACUGGACACAUAUUGACGCUGAGGUGCGAAAGCGUGGGGAGCAAACAGG
Molecule: ribosomal RNA, 253 nt
Filed under: uncultured bacterium
Lineage: Bacteria
Description: partial 16S ribosomal RNA
Rfam family: Bacterial small subunit ribosomal RNA
Source: RNAcentral